UAUUUAAAAAGAGCAUGUGGAUAUCCCAAACCUGAAUUUCUCUAGAAAAAACUUAAUGUGGAUCUGGCUUCUGAGAU
Small nucleolar RNA from Molossus molossus (Pallas's mastiff bat), 77 nucleotides. RefSeq annotates it as small nucleolar RNA SNORD50. The transcript has a single exon. Lineage: Eukaryota; Metazoa; Chordata; Mammalia; Chiroptera; Molossidae. The record is from RefSeq and is a predicted model, not a curated record.